Molecule: non-coding RNA, 364 nt
Organism: Coturnix japonica (Japanese quail)
Lineage: Eukaryota; Metazoa; Chordata; Aves; Galliformes; Phasianidae
Source: RefSeq, a predicted model, not a curated record
CUUCGGCGCAGGGAACUCCCCCUCUCUCCCUCCGACAGACCCCAACACCUGGCUGCUGACGGAUUGCAGCGAGCGGAGUCGGAGAUUGAUGAUCAUUUGUACCGCGGUACGAACUGAAGAAAGAAAUUGAAAAUAACCGGUGCUGCCUUCCCCGCGUCUCUUCCUAGGGAAAGAACGCCGCCUGUUAAUUGAAGCUCGCAUGGAAAAGAAAACGGUUUUCACAGUAAAAUGCUCUUUUGAGAGAAAAGUUCAUUUUCCUCCGGAAAGGGGCAGAGAUGUGAGGGAGCCUCAGCCUGCCCGCUUCGUGCCCACCAACUCGACUGAAGAGGGGAAAAAAAGAUUAAAAAAAUAACAAUAAAAAAAA